GCUAAGUGCUUGGCUAUAGUAAAUGACUAUUUUCUAUAAAGUGAGACAAUGACACCUAUUUUCAUUUGACAGAUGUGUAAGGUAUCCUAUCAAGAUUACAAGUACAACUAUUAGCAGCUUCCAUCUUUGCCCACGUGGUUUAAUAAGAAUAGAUGGCACAAAGCAAAAGAAUUUAACCAGAUAUCUCAGUAUGUUGCCAUGGAAAAGCUUGUGUGAACUGAACAGGAACAAAAGGCGCAUGUCUGCAAUCUGAAAAUGGAGACAGUUAAGACAAGAAAAUCUUUCAAACAGCGCCUUUAAAACACAACUAUGAACAUCAGACUUCAAAUGAUGAAAUCCAUACUUAAACAUUUAAUUUAACAAGCACAUGGAACCCCCAUCUGCAGCUGGUCAUGAUUCACUUCAAU
Long non-coding RNA from Pogona vitticeps (central bearded dragon), 407 nucleotides. The record is from Ensembl. NCBI's taxonomy places the organism in Eukaryota, Metazoa, Chordata, Lepidosauria, Squamata, Agamidae.